RNAcentral lists this ribosomal RNA (189 nucleotides) under Staphylococcus aureus. RNAcentral describes it as "partial 16S ribosomal RNA". It matches the Rfam family "Bacterial small subunit ribosomal RNA", at positions 1 to 183 of the family's 1533-position model. The record is from RNAcentral. Lineage: Bacteria; Bacillati; Bacillota; Bacilli; Caryophanales; Staphylococcaceae.
UUUUAUGGAGAGUUUGAUCCUGGCUCAGGAUGAACGCUGGCGGCGUGCCUAAUACAUGCAAGUCGAGCGAACGGACGAGAAGCUUGCUUCUCUGAUGUUAGCGGCGGACGGGUGAGUAACACGUGGAUAACCUACCUAUAAGACUGGGAUAACUUCGGGAAACCGGAGCUAAUACCGGAUAAUAUUUUG